GAAAUGCGAUACGUAAUGUGAAUUGCAGAAUUCAGUGAAUCAUCGAGUCUUUGAACGCACAUUGCGCCCUCUGGUAUUCCGGAGGGCAUGCCUGUCCGAGCGUCAUUGCUGCCCUCAAGCACGGCUUGUGUGUUGGGCCCCGUCCUCCUUCCGGGGGACGGGUCCGAAAGGCAGCGGCGGCACCGCGUCCGGUCCUCAAGCGUAUGGGGCUUUGUCACUCGCUUUGUAGGCCUGGCCGGCGCUUGCCGAUCAACCAAACUUUUUAUCAGGUUGACCUCGGAUCAGGUAGGGAUACCCGCUGAACUUAA
RNAcentral lists this unclassified non-coding RNA (308 nucleotides) under fungal sp. RNAcentral describes it as "partial contains 5.8S ribosomal RNA, internal transcribed spacer 2, and large subunit ribosomal RNA". The stretch from base 1 to 105 matches the Rfam family "5.8S ribosomal RNA", at positions 50 to 154 of the family's 154-position model. The record is from RNAcentral. Lineage: Eukaryota; Fungi. RNAcentral also lists the same sequence under 1 other name.